Molecule: long non-coding RNA, 215 nt
Filed under: Homo sapiens (human)
Lineage: Eukaryota; Metazoa; Chordata; Mammalia; Primates; Hominidae
Description: HSALNT0110719
Source: RNAcentral
UUCAGUGGCUCCGCAAGCAAUCUAACAGAAGAUGGAGAUACUGAGAGGAGAGGAGUCCAACUUUGUCACUGCAGACAUAAAGAUUCAUUAUUUUUGCCAAUUUCAAAAAACCCAGAACAAAGCAAUUCAUUUUUAGACAAAACCAUUUAGAGGACAACCAAUUUCACUGCAAGCAUCCUGGAAUCCAACAGCUUAAUAUGGCUCUGGUUGGAAUG